Molecule: signal recognition particle RNA, 299 nt
Filed under: Fukomys damarensis (Damara mole-rat)
Lineage: Eukaryota; Metazoa; Chordata; Mammalia; Rodentia; Bathyergidae
Description: Metazoan signal recognition particle RNA (ENSFDAG00000020464.1)
Rfam family: Metazoan signal recognition particle RNA
About the family: The signal recognition particle (SRP) is a universally conserved ribonucleoprotein.
Source: RNAcentral
GCCGGGCGUGGUGGCGCGCGCCUGUAGUCCCAGCUACUCGGGAGGCUGAGGUGGGAGGAUCGCUUGAGUCCAGGAGUUCUGGGCUGCAGUGCGCUAUGCCGAUCGGGUGUCCGCACUAAGUUCGGCAUCAAUAUGGUGACCUCCCGGGAGCGGGGGACCACCAGGUUGCCUAAGGAGGGGUGAACCGGCCCAGGUCGGAAACGGAGCAGGUCAAAACUCCCGUGCUGAUCAGUAGUGGGAUCGCGCCUGUGAAUAGCCACUGUACUCCAGCCUGGGCAAUAUAGUGAGACCCCGUCUCU